AAUCCAUAGGUUAAUGAGGCGAACCGGGGGAACUGAAACAUCUAAGUACCCCGAGGAAAAGAAAUCAACCGAGAUUCCCCCAGUAGCGGCGAGCGAACGGGGAGGAGCCCAGAGCCUGAAUCAGCAUGUGUGUUAGUGGAAGCGUCUGGAAAGGCGCGCGAUACAGGGUGACAGCCCCGUACACAAAAGCGCAUGUGCUGUGAGCUCGAUGAGUAGGGCGGGACACGUGGUAUCCUGUCUGAAUAUGGGGGGACCAUCCUCCAAGGCUAAAUACUCCUGACUGACCGAUAGUGAACCAGUACCGUGAGGGAAAGGCGAAAAGAACCCCGGCGAGGGGAGUGAAAAAGAACCUGAAACCGUGUACGUACAAGCAGUGGGAGCACCCUUUGGGUGUGACUGCGUACCUUUUGUAUAAUGGGUCAGCGACUUAUAUUCUGUAGCAAGGUUAACCGAAUAGGGGAGCCGGAGGGAAACCGAGUCUUAACCGGGCGUUAAGUUGCAGGGUAUAGACCCGAAACCCGGUGAUCUAGCCAUGGGCAGGUUGAAGGUUGGGUAACACUAACUGGAGGACCGAACCGACUAAUGUUGAAAAAUUAGCGGAUGACCUGUGGCUGGGGGUGAAAGGCCAAUCAAACCGGGAGAUAGCUGGUUCUCCCCGAAAGCUAUUUAGGUAGCGCCUCGUGAAUUCAUCUCCGGGGGUAGAGCACUGUUUCGGCUAGGGGGCCAUCCCGGCUUACCAACCCGAUGCAAACUGCGAAUACCGGAGAAUGUUAUCACGGGAGACACACGGCGGGUGCUAACGUCCGUCGUGAAGAGGGAAACAACCCAGACCGCCAGCUAAGGUCCCAAAGUCAUGGUUAAGUGGGAAACGAUGUGGGAAGGCCCAGACAGCCAGGAUGUUGGCUUAGAAGCAGCCAUCAUUUAAAGAAAGCGUAAUAGCUCACUGGUCGAGUCGGCCUGCGCGGAAGAUGUAACGGGGCUAAACCAUGCACCGAAGCUGCGGCAGCGACACUGUGUGUUGUUGGGUAGGGGAGCGUUCUGUAAGCCUGUGAAGGUGUGUCGUGAGGCAUGCUGGAGGUAUCAGAAGUGCGAAUGCUGACAUAAGUAGCGAUAAAGCGGGUGAAAAGCCCGCUCGCCGGAAGACCAAGGGUUCCUGUCCAACGUUAAUCGGGGCAGGGUGAGUCGACCCCUAAGGCGAGGCCGAAAGGCGUAGUCGAUGGGAAACGGGUUAAUAUUCCCGUACUUGGUGUUACUGCGAAGGGGGGACGGAGAAGGCUAUGUUGGCCGGGCGACGGUUGUCCCGGUUUAAGCGUGUAGGUGUGUGUUCCAGGUAAAUCCGGUUCACUUUAACACUGAGGCGUGACGACGAGGCACUACGGUGCUGAAGCAACAAAUGCCCUGCUUCCAGGAAAAGCCUCUAAGCAUCAGGUAACAUCAAAUCGUACCCCAAACCGACACAGGUGGUCAGGUAGAGAAUACCAAGGCGCUUGAGAGAACUCGGGUGAAGGAACUAGGCAAAAUGGUGCCGUAACUUCGGGAGAAGGCACGCUGACACGUAGGUGAAGUGAUUUACUCAUGGAGCUGAAGUCAGUCGAAGAUACCAGCUGGCUGCAACUGUUUAUUAAAAACACAGCACUGUGCAAACACGAAAGUGGACGUAUACGGUGUGACGCCUGCCCGGUGCCGGAAGGUUAAUUGAUGGGGUCAGCGCAAGCGAAGCUCCUGAUCGAAGCCCCGGUAAACGGCGGCCGUAACUAUAACGGUCCUAAGGUAGCGAAAUUCCUUGUCGGGUAAGUUCCGACCUGCACGAAUGGCGUAAUGAUGGCCAGGCUGUCUCCACCCGAGACUCAGUGAAAUUGAACUC
Molecule: ribosomal RNA, 1864 nt
Filed under: Salmonella enterica subsp. enterica serovar Enteritidis
Lineage: Bacteria; Pseudomonadati; Pseudomonadota; Gammaproteobacteria; Enterobacterales; Enterobacteriaceae
Description: partial 23S ribosomal RNA
Rfam family: Bacterial large subunit ribosomal RNA
Source: RNAcentral